CGAGUUUGAUCAUGGCUCAGGAUGAACGCUAGCGGGAGGCCUAAUACAUGCAAGUCGAACGGUAACAGGUAGCAAUACGCUGACGAGUGGCGCACGGGUGCGUAACGCGUACACAAUCUGCCUUAUACUGGGGCAUAGCCUUUGGAAACGAAGAAUAAUUCCCCAUAACAUAUAGAAGAGGCAUCUCUUUUAUAUUAAAGCUCAGGCGGUAUAAGAUGAGUGUGCGUCCGAUUAGGUAGUUGGUGAGGUAACGGCUCACCAAGCCAACGAUCGGUAGCUGGUCUGAGAGGAUGAUCAGCCACACGGGCACUGAGACACGGGCCCGACUCCUACGGGAGGCAGCAGUAGGGAAUAUUGGACAAUGGGCGCAAGCCUGAUCCAGCCAUCCCGCGUGAAGGAUGAAGGUCCUCUGGAUUGUAAACUUCUUUUCUUCGGGAAUAAAAACUGGGGUUCUCCUCAGCUUGAAGGUACCGAAGGAAUAAGCACCGGCUAACUCCGUG
This 500-nucleotide ribosomal RNA is filed under the name uncultured bacterium. RNAcentral's name for it is "bacterial SSU rRNA". It matches the Rfam family "Bacterial small subunit ribosomal RNA", at positions 9 to 507 of the family's 1533-position model. The record is from RNAcentral.